UAUCUGCACUAAUAGAUAGCAACUCCUGCCCUAUGGUAAUAAAUAGCCGCAGUUUUCUGUGCUAAGGUAGCACAAUAACUUGCCUUUUAAUUCAAGGAUCGUAUGAAAGGACUCAUGACUCUCUCCUUUUCUCAUUUAUUUUUAAUAAACUUAACUUAUAAGUAAGAAGGCUUAUAUAAAAAAGAAGGACGACAAGACCCUAUAGAACUUUACUAAUGUUAGACUGGGGUGGUUAAAAACAAAAUCUUACACAUAUUAACAAUAUAUAGACCUGAAAUCUUUCAAUAAUUAGACCAAGUUACCUUAGGGAUAACAGAGUAAUCUCUUUUUAAAGGUAUCUUAUAAAAAGAGGCUUUCUACCUCGAUGUUGAAUUAAUACUACUUCAUAAAUAAAUAUUAUUCAAGCAGGUCUGUUCGACCUUUAAAGUAUUACAUGAUUUGAGUUCAGACCGG
This 453-nucleotide ribosomal RNA is filed under the name Loxosceles sp. Tenerife 1. RNAcentral describes it as "partial 16S ribosomal RNA". It matches the Rfam family "Archaeal large subunit ribosomal RNA", at positions 1926 to 2688 of the family's 2987-position model. Lineage: Eukaryota; Metazoa; Arthropoda; Arachnida; Araneae; Sicariidae. The record is from RNAcentral.